This 1160-nucleotide long non-coding RNA is filed under the name Lathyrus oleraceus (garden pea). RNAcentral's name for it is "Pisum sativum (pea) long non-coding RNA (PSAT_LNC003299)". Lineage: Eukaryota; Viridiplantae; Streptophyta; Magnoliopsida; Fabales; Fabaceae. The record is from RNAcentral.
UUCGCCUCAAAGUUUUUAGGGUUUUUUCUCUUCCGCUGCUGUCUCCUUUUUUUUUCUUUCCUAGGGUUUUUCGUCCCCUCUCCUUUUAUACUCACUAUGUUAGGGUUUCAGAUUCGACUUAUGGAGAUCAAAAGGGUAUCCCUUGGAAGUGCUUUAAGGUGCUUCAGCUUUGUCUGCCUCAUUUGACGCUUGACCUGGAAAAGGUAAUAUGAACCACGUACUUUCCUCUUGAAUUUGCCUUAAUUCCUCUUUUGGGUUGUUUGUGUAAUUUUACCGCCUUGCUGAGUUAACGUGCUUUUUUUACUGCAGUGAAACGCGAACAAAAGAAUGGAAAGCAACAACAGGUCCACUGUGUAACUUCUUCCUCAAAACUAUGGCCACCUCUCACAAUUCGAUGUUAUUUUGCUGCAGGAAAUACGUUACGUGAUAUGAGCGUAAGGGUUGGCUUUCCAACUCCUGAGACUAAUGAGAUCUUGGGUUCUUGCUGAGAUUUAUUCAAAGACUUGGUAUUAAGCUCAUCAUGCACACUAGAAACUGGCAUCUGAGAACUCAAUGAACAUUUCCAUGAGGUGGUUGAUGUUGAGAAGGUUCCACAUGCAAAUUUUCCAUUCCUAUUCCUUCACCCUGCGACUGUCCAUAAGGUAAACCGCCAAAUCGUUGGUGAGAUUGAUACCCCUGUAACACAUUAGAAAGCAUUUGUUGUUGUUGGUGUAUUAACAGUUGUUGCUCCUCCUGCUUCUGCUGUUUGUUCCGGGAAAGUGAUGUCAGACAAAAUUUGUGAAAUUCUAAAUGAAUUGUUAUCAUUAUUAACCAGUUGGGUCCAGGAUUCCUUUUGCAGCCAUGAAGAACCUCUGCCGGUUAUUUUUGGAGCCGUCUUGUGCUGAGUUUCAGCAAGUUCUUCUAGCACUGGUGAAUUGGCAGGUUGAGAUUCAGUAUGCUCUUCUACCACAUGUGCAUUGGUAGGUUGAGACUCAGCAGGUUCUUCUGUAUUUUUAACACACUCUCAAAUUAGUCGAUCUGAAUGUGAUAAAGCAAGGCUUUUGUAAAUGAUUCCUGUAUUCUGUUUCUUUAAUUUAUUUGAUAGGUUUGGCAAUGGAAGACUUGAUGCAUUUGACGGUCUGAACUGUGCUGUUAUUGCAGGUCGUGUGUUCUGAGUGCAG